This is an RNA transcript of Diabrotica virgifera virgifera (western corn rootworm), 849 nucleotides long. RefSeq lists it as uncharacterized. The record is from RefSeq and is a predicted model, not a curated record. NCBI's taxonomy places the organism in Eukaryota, Metazoa, Arthropoda, Insecta, Coleoptera, Chrysomelidae. The transcript is spliced from 7 exons.
UUACUCAAAAGCACCUUCAAAAAAUUGUUUAAUAUAAAUGAACUAAGGCGAAACGAUAGUAUUCCGUUGUUGGUCUUUGAAUAAACAUAAUGAACAAAAUGCGGCAAGUGUUAUUAGCUGUAGUACUAGCUACUUUAUGUUCUUCCGGCUUUUGCACCAGAGGCAGUGAAAGACUAGACAAAAUACGGAUCGAACCGCAAGACUUAAAUGACAUAUUAGAUGGUCCAUAUUUUGAAGGAAAAGAUGAAAGGAUAAAUGAAAUAGAAGUCAAAAGACAAGAUUUAAAAUCAAAUGGACCAUUCUUUGAAGACAAAGAAUUUGCUAUUGACGAAAGAGCAGAAAUUAAACAUAGGUCAGGGAUAAUCAGGAUUCUUGAAAGCAUGACAACCAUGAUGCAGACAAUUUUAUCUUAUGUAGAUGGUCAUGCCAAAAUGGCAGACAUUGUAACGUCUGUUCAAGAAUUCGUAAAAGCUAUGGAGUCUUUCAUUAAUAUUAAAGCAAUAAUUAAUGAAGUACCGUUUGUAGGACCUACAGUAUCAUGGAUUAUUACCCCAAUUUUAAGUUUGAUUUCAUCUCUUGUCAAAGAAACUCCGGUAUUUGGAGAAUUAUUAUCACAAAUGCUUAUCGGUCCAGAAUCUGGAUAAAUCGAUCAUGUCUCUCUCUUGUUGUAAUCAUACACAGACAUCCUGAUUUACAUCUAAUUAUAGUUGUUAUAUCCCGUCACUUUGCCACCAACAACCGCACCUCCACCAACAAAGUCAGGAUGGAUUUUUGGUUGAGACAAAAUAAUUUAAAAACAUGUAAAAUCAAUUUUGGAUCUAGUACUUAAAUAUAAAUUUUAACCAGAAA